This 71-nucleotide transfer RNA is filed under the name Phainopepla nitens. RNAcentral describes it as "tRNA-Trp". It matches the Rfam family "tRNA". Rfam says of the family: Transfer RNA (tRNA) molecules are approximately 80 nucleotides in length. Their secondary structure includes four short double-helical elements and three loops (D, anti-codon, and T loops). Further hydrogen bonds mediate the characteristic L-shaped molecular structure. tRNAs have two regions of fundamental functional importance: the anti-codon, which is responsible for specific mRNA codon recognition, and the 3' end, to which the tRNAs corresponding amino acid is attached (by aminoacyl-tRNA synthetases). tRNAs cope with the degeneracy of the genetic code in two manners: having more than one tRNA (with a specific anti-codon) for a particular amino acid; and 'wobble' base-pairing, i.e. permitting non-standard base-pairing at the 3rd anti-codon position. Lineage: Eukaryota; Metazoa; Chordata; Aves; Passeriformes; Bombycillidae. The record is from RNAcentral.
AGAAACUUAGGAUAACCUCAAACCGAAGGCCUUCAAAGCCUUAAAUAAGAGUGAAACCCUCUUAGUUUCUG